This 374-nucleotide unclassified non-coding RNA is filed under the name Chytridiomycota sp. RNAcentral describes it as "partial contains small subunit ribosomal RNA, internal transcribed spacer 1, and 5.8S ribosomal RNA". The stretch from base 1 to 47 matches the Rfam family "Eukaryotic small subunit ribosomal RNA", at positions 1785 to 1831 of the family's 1831-position model. Lineage: Eukaryota; Fungi; Chytridiomycota. The record is from RNAcentral.
AAAGUCGUAACAAGGUAACCGUAGGUGAACCUGCGGUUGGAUCAUUAAAUAAAAACUUCGGAAGUUACUGGGGGAUUUUGGUCCGGGAGAGAGUAAUCUCCUCCCCGGGGGAACCAAGCCUCCAGUCUCAGCCGUCAACCUGAAUGUGAACUGUGCUGUCCCUGGCAGUGGGGCAAGCUAGUCGUACCACAGUUGAUGAUUGUGUAGCGAUUGCUUGUCUGUCAGCUUGCACCUUCAGGGGUGUGAGCCGUGGACAAACUGCCAACCACUUGUCUGAACCAGUGAGGUAUCCAUGAUAUUUGUCUGAACAUUUUUCACUGUUUGACAACAGAAUGAGAAACAUACAACUUUUGGCAACGGAUCUCUUGGCUCUC